AAAUAAAUUAUCCAAUUAUUCCAGUCACAGGAAAGGUCUUACAUCUUGAACAAAUAAAAAUAGUAAUGACUAAACUUUUUUUCAUUUUUUUUUCUCAAUCUUUGAAGUAAAAAAGCGUCUGUUCAAGCCGCCAUCUUGGCACCUCCCAACAGCUAGCAAGAUGCCCACAACAGAGAGAGAGCAAUGACGUGGUGCACAUCUGCACAUAUGAGAUGUACUAUCACAUUUUUGGGGACCACGUUUGGCUGUCGUCAGCGGACAGCUCGGCGACAGCCUCCAUUGCAGGACGCAGGUCCCCAAUGGCAGACCCCAGAAUUUCCCUAAAGGUGAAGCUGGAGGCCUUGUCUAUCACCAUGGUGCGGGCGUGGCCACAGGAGCUGAAUCAGGGGUGUAGACACCGCCUCCAGGAGCUCCUUACAAUGGGAAACAUCCUUCUUGCCACAGGGACAAUGUAUCAGAUGGAGACCAAUCAUUUCAAGUAUAGACUAUGAAAAGCAUGGAUGGCAUCUCAUCAUUUCUGUCAAAUUGCCUCACAAUAGCAAUUAAUGUAUGUUAAAGGCCCAGUGCAGUCAAACUCCCAGACAAUCCUAACAAAGUUCUGGCUUGAGAAAUUGCCCUUUUUUCAAUUAAAAUGGUCAAAAAGUAGCAUUCACCUUUUAGGUACUUAAAUGUCAUUGUAACCACUUAAAUUCCUAGACAGAGCUAUUGAUGUAAGGACUGACCAUCCAUCAUAUAAAAAUGAGUUUUAACCAUGUUUUGUGGCUAUACAGUUUGGUUACAUUAUAUACAAACAUUGGAGUAAAACAAACUUAUAAUUUGGGUUCUGAUGGGGGAUGACAAUUGAACUAAGCUUGAGGCAUUUAAGUUAUAUUCUUCAAGCAUCAAUGGGUGUCUAUACCAUUAAGUCCAAAAAUGUCUGUAGCAACUAAGGACUCUAGGGUAUAUUUGGAAAGUUAACCUCACUUUGUUCUUUAGCAGGGGUGUAAAACUCACUGCAAGUUUUUGUUUUUUCCUAUCAAUUAAGACCUAGACAACCAGGUGAGGGGGGUUCCUUACUAAUUAGUGACCUUAAUUCAAUCAAUCAAGUACAAGGGUGGAGUGAACCUGUAGACACUCGGCCCUCCGUGGAAUGAGUUUCCUGUGUUCUACAGUCUAGCUUAGUUGGUGUGGAGGUGGUGGCAGGACUCACCUGUGGGCGUUUCCACCUCCUUUCUCCAGCACCUGGAUGAUUUCAGAUGAUAGGUGGGCGGGGCAGAACUUUCUUUCCAUUCCUAUUAGUGAUGACUUCGGGCAGGGAGGCCAGAAUCUCUGAUAGGGACGGCCUGCUUCACCAGCUUAGUGUCAUCUAUGCAGUCAAAGGCAGCGAGGAGGACUAAGAACACACACUCUCCCUGAAGAGAAAAUUAACAGACCAAUAAGUCAGCCACACACACACUGACGUUUACAUAUUUGCAUGGCGAUCAAAUUGUGGCGAUCAAAUUGUUGUUGGCUGACCAUUGCAAACUUCCUGAUGUACGUCUUCAUGGUUUUAAUGAUGACUUUUCUGUCCUGAAAGGUAGAACCAAUAAAUCAGUGUACAUACAUAGGACACACACUAGUCUGUGGUUGGUGAGGAUCAUAUCUCUAGAAGGCCUGAGUGAAUACUCACCUUAGGUGUCCCAUGCCACAGGCAGUGCAUUGCGACUUUAGCUCCAUCGUGGGUGGGGGCCAUAUACAACAGACUCCCUUAUCAACCCAAUAAUUUCCUGUUAAGUUACAUGAUCAAAAUGGUUUUAGAAACAUGGUAGGAUUCCCUCAGUAAUUUCUACAGUCAUUGCUGGUUCUACUUACAGUCCUUUGUUUGGCUGGGGCAUGCAGGGUAAAGUGCA
Oncorhynchus mykiss (rainbow trout) is the source of this 1868-nucleotide non-coding RNA. Lineage: Eukaryota; Metazoa; Chordata; Actinopteri; Salmoniformes; Salmonidae. The record is from RefSeq and is a predicted model, not a curated record.